Equus caballus (horse) is the source of this 5849-nucleotide long non-coding RNA. RefSeq lists it as uncharacterized. Lineage: Eukaryota; Metazoa; Chordata; Mammalia; Perissodactyla; Equidae. The record is from RefSeq and is a predicted model, not a curated record.
AUGAUACCUUGGGGACCUAGUAGAAGUUAUCUAACUUGUGUCAGCCUCUGUGUACACCGCCAAAAACAUGAAUAAUGCCUCCUGCUUUAUAGACAUGUUGUGGAAAAUGAAUCAGCUGAUUUUCACAAAUCCCCUAGACUGCUGCUUCUCAAACUGUCUGCGGUGAACGACAAGUAUUUGUUGUUUUCCAAGCCAGGCACUCAUGGACCAAUACAUUUGUACGAUGCAAGGAAAAUGAAUUAAUAGAAAGAAGAAAAAUGGCAAAGACACACAAAGUGCAAGCCUCGAUUUUUUAAAACAUCAUAGAGACUCUCACCAUAGACGAUAGAACUUUCUAAACAUGUACUCUCAAAUUAUGUACUUACCGCAGAUUGGUGACACAAUUUUGCGAGGCAGCAAGUGUCCACAGACUGCAAUUUCAUCUGUUCUGCUCUGGCACGGUGCCUAGCCCAUCAGAGACAUUCAAUCAGUGGUUGCUAUUUCAAGGGAAUUAUUACAAAAUAUGGUUCUUAUCAUGAAGGAGAUUAAAUAAGAAGAAAUUGCAAGUAAAAAGAAGAAGAAAUACCAAAUUAUUCGAUUGCUGACAGAGUGUCAAGAGAGUUGUAUGAACAAGAAGCAGUACAGGAGUUCAAAAGGAAGAUAUCACAGCGGCCAAGACUUCCGCUGGGCCUUGACAGUCAAGGAAAGAUGGAACUUACUUUGUAGCUUUUUGUACUUUGUGAUUGUAGGAAAGCUUCGUGAUUCUUGCACACAUUUCUGCGAGCCCUGAAAGUAUAGUGUUCAGGAAAUAUUUAGCCUUAAUCCCACCAUCCAGAGGUUAUCUGUGCUAACAUUUGUGUGUACUCUUUCAAUGCAUAGUCAGGAAGAUGACAACGAAUAUGAUACAAAUUAUAACAACUAUAUAUAUGUAUACACACACACACACACACACACAUAUAUAUAUACUUAAUGCUAGACACACAUAUAUUUGUAAACAUUUACAUCAGUUUUCUGUAUAUCGGUACAAACAUGUACAGUGACUCAGAGCCCCCCUCUAUUAUCACUGUUGAUCUCACAGCCCCCUUGGCAAAAAUUCCCAUACUUGUUGUGUCUGGGAGUCCCAAAAGGGUGACACAAAUUGCUAUCGAGACCUAUCUGUUCACUAUAGUCUCCAACAAGCAAUCUGGAAGUGCCCUGAGAGAGCUUCAAUGGAGCCUCCAAGUAAGACGAUGACCCUCAUGAUGUCGACAUUGCCCCCAAGCAGUUCGCACAGCUGCCAGGGCCCACGUGCCAGAGCCAAGCUGCAUUCUGUGCAGAGGUGCGUGACAUGUCCCUAUCUCUAACCCUGUACAAAAACGUGGACUUUGAAGCAGCUCCGCCAAACCCACACUGCCCCUCUCAGGAUACCAGUCCCCCUCACCUCCUUCCCUCCUAUCAUGGUUAUCUGCAAACAAGUCCCCAGUCUCCAAUACAAUGCACCAAGUACUUGGAAGCUCUCAAACCCUGAUCUGGGCAGUUUACAGCAUACACACACACACACACACACACUUGUACUCUCACACAUACACACAUUAAUGCAUUGCUGAGGAGGAACUGCCUAGUAGGGGAGAGAACCGUUAUCACAGCUGCCCCUCUUCUAUGUGCAUCCGGGGCAGUUCAGAGGAGCUGGCUGCUCCUGAACUCUGGUCUCCACACCCUUGUCGUGGGGGAAUUCCCUCUCUCCUCAGGUCAUACAGGACAAAAUUAUGAUUUGUCUCAAGGGACUGUACUAAGGGGCAAAAUGAAAGACCAAACAAUAAGCAAAAUAAGACCCUACAAACAUCAGGAUAGAACUGCUCUUUGACCCAAGGCUGAUCACCAAAGUCAGUCCACACAUCACCUCAGGCCGAUGAACAUCUCAGCCACGCAGACCCCGGAGCUUGGCUUGGGGCUAGUCCACGCAAGUUUGACCCUCAGGCUGUGGCAAGUGGAAGGUGUCACCACAGCCCAGCCUGCCAGGGGAUCUCCUUUGCCUCAGAACCUGUUUCCUUUUCUGCUCUCUGGUAGGAUCCACCCUCCUCCCAUGCACCUUGGCGACAGCACCUCUUCCUGUUGUUCUCUGGCCACAUCUGACCUUUCAUCUGGGCUGCCCCUCUCACCGCAGUCCCUGAGGCAGCUCACAGAAGCCAGGGUACCAUGGGCCACUCUAGCACCCUCAAGUUUACUCCUGACAUGGUUGCUCUGUGCUCUCACUCCUGGAAGCCUGUCUGACUACUCCUAUUUUUGCAUGCUUCUCUGACCCUCCUGCCCUCUCUGCUGUCCCUUCCUCUUUCAACAGCUCCAGCUCUCAUUCUCAGUUCAUUGACAGAGGAGUUCUGACAAGCAUGUCCUGGGCCCCCAAAGUGAUAAAGUCUCCCUCCCCCCAGCAGGUGACAACUCCACUUUGUCUCCCAAUUCAUACAGAAAGACAUCAACCUCUCCCUAAAGGUGUGCACACAUACCCGUAUACCCACAGACAGCUGCCUCACACCUCCUGUUCAGACUCUCCCAGAUGGGACAUCACCCCAGUCUUCACUUCUGAGUGUGUGCUUAUUGGCUUACAUUCCAAGGCAGACAGACACACACUCAAGUGUACAUUCACAAUCAGGUGCCCACUCACCAUAUGUACACCCCAUAAACACACCACAUACACUUCCACACUUGCAAACGUAUCUAAUAAUGCAUAGGCACCUUAGAGGCACGCAUGCCACACACAAGUACACAAAUAUAUACGUGGGUACACACAAGGAGAGAGAAAAUCUCAGAGCGGGGUAUGGUGCCCAGAAAUAUGCGUAAAUGCACACAUGUGCACAUACCUAGAAACUAACACACAUUACAAAAACAGGGACACUCAUUAAGACAAACACACACGCAUAUAUGUGCGUGCACACACACACACAAGAAGGAGAAGCAAGUUGUGUCUACCAAAACUAUCCAAAUUUUGCGAAAGAAAGAAAGUUAGAGAUGCAUUUCUAAGCCUCUGCGUCUUACCUUCCCAGGCCUAGAAUACAUAGAUAUGAAGCUAAUGAUGUGACAGGCUUUCUCUCACUCUCUCUCUCACAAACACACACGAGCACGCACGAAGACACACACACCCACCCAUGCUCAAACACACACACAUUUACUCUUUCUCUCACACACACAUACACAUGCACACACACACAACUUCCUCAGAAAUGGUAGAGCGGGAAAGUUGACGGUGGGAAACAUGGUUCCAGAUCCUGAGCAGCAGUUACUGUGAGUAGGUGGCACCUACCGCCUCUCCAGAGCCCUGGAGCACAAAAGAACUCAGUUCUUGACACCCAGCCUGGACAGCUCGAAAGGUCAGAGACAUGCCAGCCUGCUUCUCAGCUCCUUCUGUUGGCUGUUCCCUGAUUCCUCUCCCUGCUGUGAGACCUCCCUCCACCCUGGCACAGCCCCCUUGAAACGCAGCUGCGAAGAGAAAGCAGACAUACCUGCUGUUCUCUCCAAACGCUAGUGUCAAGGAUCCUGUCUCAGAAAGAAGAAGAGUGCACGCGUGCAAGGUGCGAUGAAGGAGUACAAACAACCUACACGCCAGGACAGGGAAUAGGAAAUCAGCAUGCAAGGCAGCAGACAGGUAUCUGGGAGGAAAAAGAGGAGUGAGGAAGGACGGCAGUGGAAUCCCACCCUGAGACACCGAGCUGCCAACACAGCGAAGAUUUCCUCAGAACUCCCAAAGGAUCUCCCAGCUCCCUCUUCCUCCCGCCAGCUCUGUAAAAUAGGAUUGAUUCCCUGAGAAAACCUCAGUCCAUGACGUGCCGACCUUUGAUAUGAGGCUCGGGACCUGUAGCUAACAAAUACAUAGACUGAAAUCUCCUGAAGAACGUCAACAGCAGAGGGCCCUCAACACAGGGUCCUGGUCAUCCAGCUCAUGCUGCCUGCAGAGGAGGAACGGCCCCCUCUUUCCCCUCACCAUGUGGCUAAUACACCCAAAGCCCUCUGCCCUUUCUCUGUAGAUUCCCACAGGGCAGGGUACAGAACUCCAGCGGUUGGGAGUGGGGCUGCCCAGACCCUGAGGCUCAAGGAUCAGGAAAACCGUGAUGCCCGAUAUUUCCCAGCCAUGCUUCUAAUCAGGACCCGUUUGCCUCUCCCAGUCCUGGCAAGAAGUGUGUGGAUCAGUGAUGAGAUUAUGUGAGAAUAACACCAGGAAUUAGAUUUUGAAAAAAAUGCCUCUGAAUUAUCAGUUUUAAGAAAAUUGUCAGAACUGGGCAAUGCAGGAGAGUGGAAGAAACUGCACCUACAGCAGGGACCCAGUUAGACUUCUAUGCUAGAGUUUUUAGCCUACAGUCUAUCCACAUCAGCAUCCGUGUCCCCACAUGUGUGCUGAAAACAGUUCCAUGAGCGCAGUUGGCACCAAAGUGGAGAUGGGAAAGCAACGGGGGAACUAAUGGGAUGCACCAUAUAUACCAUGGCCCAGAACCCAUGGACUGCAGUAGCCUUCCCCUUCCACUGCACCUUACUGUGAAUUGCUUUGUUGGAGGGAGGACUCACCAGCCAAAAGUCAUGUUCAUGGCUUUUGGGCGCCAAUGGUGCUAGCAAACUCAGGGGCUGUCGUGUCCCUCUCCUAAGGCAGAGAAGUCAAGGUUGGACUGGCUGCUGUGAGCUCCUUCACCAUAUCUAUGCCCAAUCCCACUCCAGCUCUAGCAGGCCUUAUUAAGAGGUUGCUCAUCUCUUAAUAAGGAUAUGGAUAGGAAACAGCAAUAUUUCCCUUUCCCACAUGAUCAAGAGUGUGGAACUUGUUGCCAGUGAGUGGUGCUUGGGAAUGGAGGACGACGGCCACCCAUCCUCAGACUGGCAGAGUCAACCAGGAGGCCGUCAAGUAUGGUACUAAAGGUGGACAGAGGAUGACUACUUGCAUUUCAUGAUUAAAGAUUCUUCGGGCUCUUCCAGUUCGGCUGCUUCAUUUCAGGCAAUUAUUGGGUCAAUUCUAAGUUCUACUUACUUCUCCUUCUCCUCUAUAAAAUGAUGUCUGGGGAUUGGAAGAAAGGGUGAGGCUUAAGUGAUAUCAUGGCGGCCGUACAGAGGCGUCCUCAGUCUGAGUGCUAUUCUUUGGAUUCUGCUUAUGUGGCCAUGCAACUUGAACGAUGAUUUCUUACUGGACUGUUCUCUUGCUAGACUUAUGGAUCCCCUUGAGAUUUGGUUGCAACUCAGAGUCGACUCCAAUGUGGGUAACCAGGGUAACGUUUGCCCCAACAAUGGUCACUGAUCAUUUUUCAUUAUACAUCGUACUGGGUUGAACAGUGUGCCCCCAAGAUUCAUGUCUACCCGGAACCUCAGAAUGUGACUUUAUCUGGAAAUAGGGUCUUUGCAUAAUGUAAUUAGUUAUGAUGAGGCCAUAUUGGAUUAGAGUGGACCCUAAAUCCAAUGUGUCUUCAUAAAAAAUAGAGAACACACAGAGACACAGACUCAUGUGGAGGAGCAUGCUAUGCGAAGAUGGAGGCAGAGAUUGGAGUGAUGCAUCUACAAGCCAAGGAACAUCAAGGAUUGCCACAACCACCGGAGGCUAGGAAGAGGCAAGGAAGGAUCCUCCCCUAGAGGCUUCAGAGGGAGCGUGGCCCUGACAACACCUUGCUUCAGAACUGUGAGAGAAUACGUUUCUGUUGUUCUCAACCACCCAGUUUGUGGUAAUUUGUUACAGCAGCCCUGAGAAUCUGAUACAUGCACCAGUAAUAAAAGAUUUUUGAGCACACAUCUCCAAUAGAUGUAUAUUUCUUAAUUUACAAAUUAUGUACUGGUGACACUGUAUUCGUAUGCAAUGGUCCUCAUGAAACAUACACUAAACUUAGAAAUUUAAAAGGAUGUGAUAAAAAAAUAAAUAUGCUCAGAAUUUC